UACGUAGGUGGCAAGCGGUGUCCGGAAUUAUUGGGCGUAAAGCGCGCGCAGGCGGUCUCUUAAGACUGAUGUGAAAGCCCCCGGCUCAACCGGGGAGGGUCAUUGGAAACUGGGAGACUUGAGUACAGAAGAGGAGAGUGGAAUUCCACGUGUACCGGUGAAAUGCGUAGAUAUGUGGAGGAACACCAGUGGCGAAGGCGACUCUCUGGUCUGUAACUGACGCUGAGGCGCGAAAGCGUGGGGAGCAAACAGG
RNAcentral lists this ribosomal RNA (253 nucleotides) under uncultured bacterium. RNAcentral describes it as "partial 16S ribosomal RNA". It matches the Rfam family "Bacterial small subunit ribosomal RNA", at positions 524 to 776 of the family's 1533-position model. The record is from RNAcentral.